UCUCUCUUUUUGUUUCUCUUUGUUUAUAGUACUCGAUCCAGCUUUCAGGCCAUGCGCAAAUGCUCUGCUCCCAGCCAACUUGAAUUCAUUUCAAGGAAGAUUGCACAAGAAUUCAGCUCUGCUGCUCCGAGCCAGGCCUGCUGGGCUGGCUGUUUUGUUCUCUCGGGCCCCAGUCCUGCCGAAGGACCUGCUGGCACAAACCCCUGGAGCAUCCCUAUUUUGAAGUAAUUUGCAGUGACUUAAAAACCCUUGAGAAAGCCCCGUCUUUCUCAGAGGUGGGAUUCUUCCCAGCUAACCACAGAAGCCUGAAAGUUGCAUGCACGAUGCAAGCUAAUCAUUCCGGCUCUUCUGAUGGGGUACGAAGAGGAGGAGGCAUCUCACAAAGCGUGACUCAGGAGGAACAAGGUUCCUGGAUGCUGGUGAGAAACAGGUUGCUAUCUGAUAUAUUGCCCAAAAUUCACAGAAGGAAUCAUUGGCACUGCUGAUUUCAGGUAUCUUUUAUUAAUGCUGAAAAGAAAAUUUAAGCAUUUCCCUUGCACAAUAUGGAACAUUCUUCUGAUAGUCUGUGUAAUCUGUAACCAGUGUUCAUUCGUGCUGUCUCUGCAGCUAUUUCCAUGCUUUGUCAUUUCCAUCAUAAUAUUUAGAGAAUUAGGUGUUGUGUAUUUUACUUGCAAGGUCAUCUAGGGCAGUUCUGGUUUGAAAUAUUUGUACUGCAUUCACUUAUUUGCCUGUGAGCUUUCUCCAAACAUGUGAUAGUUUCUGUUGGCUGCUCUUUUUGUUUUUUUAAUUCCUUUUUGGGAAGGGAAGUGGAAGAGCUGGAAGGAGAGGGAGAAGGUCCAUCAUGUGUGGUUAUAGAGACAUGUGUCACUGACAGCAGACAGUGACCAGAUCAACCUUUCCAUCUGCAUGUUUGUGCUCUGAGCCACAGCCUGCAUGCACCCUCCAUCUCCACAAACACCAAAGCACAGGGGAUUCUCAGUGGCCACAUCAUAGGAUGGGUCCUCAUUUCCUUUUGGAGACCAGCCUUAAGAGAAUAUCAGUAAAUUGAUGAACUUAGCGGCACAUCAGUACACGGAGCUAACAAGAACCUGACAAAUGAUAAAACACACAAACAUAACCACAUCUGAGUGUCUUUCACACAGUGCAUGAUCAACUGAACGUCCAGAGCAUAAGCUUGUGAACAAGCUUAUGAGGGACCAAGCUUAUGAGAAAGGAAAUAUCUUACAGGAAGUUGGAUUACAGAUAGGAUUUAAAUGGGAUUGCUGAGGACUGCUGGAGUUACUUCUUUGCAUCUUGACUUUAACUGAGAUGGAGUUUCCUUUUCCUGCGUUGAGCGCUAGGCUUUGUGGGCAGCCGGGGAAACGGCCAGCGCAGGUUAAUGUAAUGAGGUGUGGAAGUCUGAAGUGGCGAAUGGAAAGUCCUGGGAAGAGAGGAAGACUAGAGGGGGAGAGACUGAUAAGCAGAGAGGGCCACGAAACUGCAUGACAUGAAAGCUUGGAGGACUUUAAGGGGAGGGCUAACAUGGAUGGGAAGGUGGUAGAGCUGCAUUUCAAGGCACCUGAGGGGAAGGCAGGGAACUGCACACCUUGGAGAUGUCACAGUCAAGAGAAGCAUUUGGGGUACCAGCAAGCAAAGAUUAGAGAGUAGGUUACUGCAAAAGGUAAAAGAGGAGGAAGAGUGAGUUUGAGGCUGUUUCUUCAGAGCUUUGGUGCCAGGCUGUAAGAAGAAACCCCAUAGCAACAGGUUUCCAAAGGGUUGCAGUGAGAUGCCAGUUCCGUUGGUGGGACAACAUCAAGUAGGCUGCAGGCAAAUAACGUCACCCCAUUGUAUUAUGCUGACUUGAUUCAUGCUGUUUAAUGUCUUCCUGUCCCCUUUUUUCUAGUCAAAGCCAUUUCAUUAGCUAAAGUUACAAUUGAUGUGUUUGGUUCAGUUGUCCUCCUUGAGGAAUGCACUCCGGCCUUUGAGACAUUCAGCUGCAGGCUGUGAGUUGAAUCCCCAAGCUUAUCCAGUCCUGCAAAUUGUAGGAGGUGGGGCUGGAAGGAUCAUGGGCAGGCCACCUACUCCUCCCUGAGCCCCAGGCACGAUCAACUGACUAAUGCUUCUUCCAGGCUGUUCUUAAAAACCUCUAAUACUGGAUACUCUGCAACUUCCUAGGCAACCCAUUCCAGUGCUUCCCUGUUCUCACUCUUAAAAAGGUUUUUGGUGUAAUUCUUAGUGUAAUUCCUUUUCUCUAAUUUAAGCCUAUCACUCUUGUGCCCCAAAUAGACUUGGAAAUGAGAUUACUCUCUUCUUGCUUUGUAUAUUAGAUGACCACUACCAUGUCUUUGCUGCCCAAAACUUCUUUGAUCCAGAUGACCUUAUCAAUACAGUUUUGCAGUUUUAGACUAUGCACCCUUUCCCACUUGACACCUUUUCUGCACUUCUGGCCAUUCCUAUUGCUCUUCUUUGCACUUUCUCCAGUAAGUCUGCAGUCUACCUGAAGUGUAGUGGCCCAGACUGUACGUGUAACACUUCAAAUGAAGUCUUCGCAGCAUAGAGAACAGGGGAAGAAUUAUUUCCUGUUUGUCACAGACAGUACUUCUGUUUAUACACCUCAUUAUAGUACUUUCAUUUCUCACUGCUGCGCAACUGUGUUCAUUCAUGUUGAGCUGUCAUCCCUAGAUCUUUUUCUGCAGAACUUCUGCUGUGCUGAUUGUUUCCCAGCUCAUCUUUUAGUACUUGAUUACGCCUACCUAAAUGCAGAGCUCCGCUUUGUCCCUACUGAAUGGCACUUCUUUUCCCGUACGUUUCUCCAAUUUGUCAAGAUUGUUUUGCAUUCUCAUCCUGUUCUCCAAAGUGCUUGUUCUUCAUGGUGUUCUGUGCUAAUUUAGUAAGUGUUCCCUACUCUUAGUUCUUCAAAGAUAUUAAUGAAAAUACUGAACACUGCCAGACACAAAACAGAUGGCUUCAGAACUUCAUUUGAUACAUACUGCUGGUUUGACAGUGAAGCGUUUAUAACUGCUCUUAGUCUGGUUUUCCAACCAGCCAUACACCCCUCUAAUAACGGUUUCUUCUAAACCAUGUUUCUUUACCUUGUUUAUGAAAGUGUCAGGUGAGACAAUGGCAAAAGCUGCAUUAAAAUCAAGAUAGAAGACCUACUAUAGAAGGAAAUUAGAUUGAUUUGAUGUGAUUUGUUCUUGUCAAAUCAGUGCUCGCUGUUCCUCGUCUCUUUGUUAUCUUCUAGGUGCUGGAAAAUAGUUUAUCUAAUUACUACUUCCAGUAUUUUUCCAGGAAUUGAAAUUAGGCUGCCUGGUCUCCGAUUCUCGGCUCUUCCUGUUCCCUCCUCCCCCCUUUAAAGGUAGGUGUAAGUUUGCCUUUCCCAGUCUGCAAGAAACACAACCCCCUGCCUCUGAGCUCUGUGCUGAUGAUGGCUUCGAGGAGCUUCAGCUAAUUUUCCCAGAAGGGUAAAAUGAUUUUUAUCAGGCCUCGCCAGUUUGAAAAUACCUGACUUAUUUAGGCACUCUCUGACAUGCUCUUUGUAUUCUUACCCUUUGACUGUUUGUGCUAGUUGUGCUAAACAUAUCAUAAAAGGGGCACCUUUGAGUAAAGACUGAAGGAGAAAAGUAUCAAACGCUUCUGCACAUUUGGCAUCAUCACUCAGUAACUCCUCAGAGAGGCCCUGCUCUUUCUUUGUCCCUCCUAAUAAACACACUGACGCCCACUGCAUGUUGCAUCACUUAAAACUUUUUCAUUUUGCUCCUCCAUGUUUAUACUAUUCUUUUAUACUUAGUAACAUGACCCAGUUCCACUUUCUGUGUGCUUCCUCUGCCCUUCUACAGCUAAUGGAGAGCUCAUGAUCUAUCCAGUUCAUCUCUUACUAGCCUUCUUCAGUGCUUGUGCUAAGUAGUAGCACUGAGGAGUUCACAAGUAGUUCUUUAGCACUUCUUUUGUGCUUGGGCCCUCCGUACAACUUCCUUAGAGUGCUGUCAACUUUCCAAAAGUCCUUUCUGCCUUGAAUUUGUUGCCCUGGGAUCUUGUGUACUGACACCCUGAGUUAGCUCAAGUCUGUCUCCUUGAAGUCCGCUGUUUUGUCUUUGCUUUUUUUCCCUGCCUCCUUUCCUAGAAGUCAUGAAUGUUACCACUUCAAGAUCACUCUCACCCCAGUAGCCUUUCACCUUUACCUCCAGAAUUGAGUUUUGCAGAGCAUCUAGUCAGGAAGACGUUAAAGAGAUGGAUGAUAUCUGAAGUCAGUUCA
Molecule: non-coding RNA, 4234 nt
Organism: Struthio camelus australis
Lineage: Eukaryota; Metazoa; Chordata; Aves; Struthioniformes; Struthionidae
Source: RefSeq, a predicted model, not a curated record